RNAcentral lists this ribosomal RNA (497 nucleotides) under uncultured bacterium. Its description in RNAcentral is "partial 16S ribosomal RNA". It matches the Rfam family "Bacterial small subunit ribosomal RNA", at positions 28 to 507 of the family's 1533-position model. The record is from RNAcentral.
GACGAACGCUGGCGGCGUGCCUAAUACAUGCAAGUUGAGCGCUGAAGGUUGGUACUUGUACCAACUGGAUGAGCAGCGAACGGGUGAGUAACGCGUGGGGAAUCUGCCUUUGAGCGGGGGACAACAUUUGGAAACGAAUGCUAAUACCGCAUAAAAACUUUAAACACAAGUUUUAAGUUUGAAAGAUGCAAUUGCAUCACUCAAAGAUGAUCCCACGUUGUAUUAGCUAGUUGGUGAGGUAAAGGCUCACCAAGGCGAUGAUACAUAGCCGACCUGGGAGGGUGAUCGGCCACAUUGGGACUGAGACACGGCCCAAACUCCUACGGGAGGCAGCAGUAGGGAAUCUUCGGCAAUGGACGAAAGUCUGACCGAGCAACGCCGCGUGAGUGAAGAAGGUUUUCGGAUCGUAAAACUCUGUUGGUAGAGAAGAACGUUGGUGAGAGUGGAAAGCUCAUCAAGUGACGGUAACUACCCAGAAAGGGACGGCUAACUACGUG